UACGUAGGGGGCAAGCGUUGUCCGGAAUCAUUGGGCGUAAAGCGCGCGUAGGCGGCCCUGUAAGUCCGUUGUGAAAGUCAAAGGCUCAACCUUUGAAAGCCGAUGGAUACUGCAGGGCUAGAGUCCGGAAGAGGCGAGUGGAAUUCCUGGUGUAGCGGUGGAAUGCGCAGAUAUCAGGAGGAACACCAACGGCGAAGGCAGCACUCUGGGCCGGUACUGACGCUGAGGAGCGAAAGCGUGGGGAGCAAACAGG
This 253-nucleotide ribosomal RNA is filed under the name uncultured bacterium. RNAcentral describes it as "partial 16S ribosomal RNA". It matches the Rfam family "Bacterial small subunit ribosomal RNA", at positions 524 to 776 of the family's 1533-position model. The record is from RNAcentral.